GAUGAACGCUGGCGGCGUGCCUAAUACAUGCAAGUCGAGCGAACAGACGAGGAGCUUGCUCCUCUGACGUUAGCGGCGGACGGGUGAGUAACACGUGGAUAACCUCCCUAUAAGACUGGGAUAACUUCGGGAAACCGGAGCUAAUACCGGAUAAUAUAUUGAACCGCAUGGUUCAAUAGUGAAAGACGGUUUUGCUGUCACUUAUAGAUGGAUCCCCGCCGCAUUAGCUAGUUGGUAAGGUAACGGCUUACCAAGGCAACGAUGCGUAGCCGACCUGAGAGGGUGAUAGGCGACCCUGGAAGGGAGACAGGGUCAAGACUACUACGAGAGGCAGCAGUAGGGAACCUGCCGCAAUGGGCGAAAGCUUGACGGAGCAACGCCGCGUGAGUGAUGAAGGUCUUCGGAUCGUAAAACUCGGUUAUUAGGGAAGAACAAAUGUGUAAGUAACUAUGCACGUCGUGACGGUACCUAAUCAGAAAGCCACGGCUAACUACGUG
This 497-nucleotide ribosomal RNA is filed under the name uncultured bacterium. RNAcentral's name for it is "partial 16S ribosomal RNA". It matches the Rfam family "Bacterial small subunit ribosomal RNA", at positions 28 to 507 of the family's 1533-position model. The record is from RNAcentral.